CCGUAUUGGCGCAGUAAGGGUUUAUUAGCAAUAUACGAAAGAUAAGACAUAGGCAGAACCUUUUAACCUGUCAAAUUAAGUGCCAGCAGACGCGGUGAAACUUAAGGGUUUGUUUUUUAGAAAAAAGCAGAAAGCGUGUAAAGGUAAAACAUUUAAAAUAAAUAGAAUUUUUUUAGUAAUAGUGCAAUAUUAAAAGAAGAAAAAGAAUUUUUUAUGUGAAGACAAUUUAUUUUUUUCUUUAACACGAAGGUUCUGGGAGCGAACAGGAUUAGAGACCCUGGUAGUCGAUACAGUAAAAGAAAGUCGCUUGAGUAGUACGGUCGCAAGAUUAAAAUUCAAAAAACUUGGCUGUUCAUUGUUAUUUAGAGGAGCGUGUUGCUUAAUUCGAUAAUCCGCGAGUUACCUUACCAAAACUGGCUUUUUCAGGUGUUGCAUGGCCGUCGUCAAUUUAUGUUUGAUACAAUAAAUUAAAUCCUAGAAAGGUUGAAGUCAGGUAAAAUUGCCCUUAUGUUUUGGGGUUAAAUGCGCUACAUUUUUUUUUUAAUAAAAAAAAAGAGUUCGGAUUGUCUUUAAAAGAGGAUGAUUAAGUUGAAUUUAAUAGUAAUUGAAAAGUAGAGCGUUUCAAUGAAUUUGCCGCAAUGUUAGUACAAAUUGCCCGUCGCCUCUACUGAGGUAAACAAAGUAGAGUAAGUCGUAACAUGGUAAGGGAGAGGGAACACAUUAA
This 724-nucleotide ribosomal RNA is filed under the name Alveopora daedalea. Its description in RNAcentral is "partial 12S ribosomal RNA". It matches the Rfam family "Bacterial small subunit ribosomal RNA", at positions 423 to 1533 of the family's 1533-position model. Lineage: Eukaryota; Metazoa; Cnidaria; Anthozoa; Scleractinia; Poritidae. The record is from RNAcentral.